Molecule: ribosomal RNA, 222 nt
Filed under: uncultured bacterium
Lineage: Bacteria
Description: partial 16S ribosomal RNA
Rfam family: Bacterial small subunit ribosomal RNA
Source: RNAcentral
AGUAAUGCCUGGGAAACUGCCUGAUGGAGGGGGAUAACUACUGGAAACGGUAGCUAAUACCGCAUAACGUCGCAAGACCAAAGUGGGGGACCUUCGGGCCUCAUGCCAUCAGAUGUGCCCAGAUGGGAUUAGCUAGUAGGUGGGGUAACGGCUCACCUAGGCGACGAUCCCUAGCUGGUCUGAGAGGAUGGCCAGCCACACUGGAACUGAGACACGGUCCAG